GACCACAACAUAACCUUAUUUUCUGCCCGUGCGUGCGCUUCAGGUGCGCUUCGAGAUUACAAUGCUAGAACGUUCAUUCCUCCUCUUUUUAGACGCAAAUGUGAUCUUAAAUUAGUCUUGUCAUCACAUAAGAUUCUUCUAUUAUUGUAUCUAGUUUUUUUACACUCCAUCCUGCAGUAAGGUUUAUGAGUCCAAGCAGUUCAAGAGGCCGUGUCUGAUGAGAAGUGGACUUCAAUGGUGGAAAAGGAAACAGGAUGAACCUUUGGAAACCAAUACUCGGAUUUGGCAUCUCAGGUACUGUAAUUAGUCUCGGGAUUGUGGAGUAUUUGAGAAGAACAAUUCAUGGUCAUUUGCUCCAAGAAUCUCCUCUUGCUCACGAAGGAAGAAGGAUAUUUUACAGUAACAGACAAGUCAAAGAUUUCCUCGGUGUUCCAAUCAAAGAGGACUCUAUUGAUACAUGGAAUGGAAGGAUAAAUUUUGACAAUGGUUAUGAAUCUAAACUGAAUUUCCAUGUCAAAGGCCAGCAUAAGGAAGGAUUCAUUCACAUCGAAGGGAGGAAAAAUCAAAGGACUGGUGAUUGGGUUCUCACACAACUGAGUCUCAUGUCAGAGGAUUUAGAGACAAAGCUUUUUAGUAUUAUUCCCCCAGAAAAUGAGAAUAACUCAACUUCAGAGUAGUAACUUUAAUUGGAAAAGAAAAACCCCACCCUAUGGGUUAUCAAUCAAUUUUUAGUUGACUUUGAGCUCCUCCCCUUCCCCACUCAAGUGAUUUGGAGGGGUCAGCCUCAAGGGCUGGGGAUUACUAUCUCUUAUGAAGAUGCCCUCCUUCCCCCUUGUAGAUGAAAACUGGCAGGAUAUGUAACACAACUUUGAAGCAGAUCCAUUACCUUGAAUUAGAGUCCCCAAGGAGAUAAAGUUAGGUGGCGCGUUUUAGAAUGCAAUAGAUGAUCUGCCAUCUUCAUUCUUGUAAUUUAUUAAUGUUGAAUUGAAUAAUGCUGACCUUCCAUUGCACUCUGAAAGUUAAGAAACUCAUUCGGCCAGGACUCUACCUGAGUAUCAUCAAAGAAGCCUUCUUGUGGAACUCGUUCCUGGCAUCACUUGAAACGUCUGAUAUCGCAACAUCAUUGUUGUUUUGCUCGUAUAUGGCUCUUGAAAAAUUUUGUGAAAUGUCACCUUUUUUUCUCAAGUAGGUACGUAUCAGCAAGCAUUCCAUCUGUACAUUGCAUAAGUUACCGAAAAAGAGGGGGUAUAGGGCUGCUUUCAUCCCUGCAAAGUAUGAUGAGAGAUAGGGGGGUGUGCGUUCCAAAGACAAGGAGGCACAAAAAUGCCGGAAAAGUGCCUAAAUUUAUAGGUGGCACCAUACCUCUAACGAUUCUAAUUUGACUCCAAUUAGCAUAUUGUGAUGAAUUAGUCAUAGCUUUUACAUAGUGUUCAGAUCCUGUUUUAACUCUAUGACAUUCAUAGACAUUGUUCUCAAAUUUAUUUUAUGAAUUUUAGAACAACUUAAUUCAUAAAGAAUAAAGCAGUUUGCAUUACCCACCCUCGAACCUUUGUAUCAGCUGUGGCAAAGAUUCAGGAAAAAUACACCUGCAUUUAACAAAUUAUCAAUCGUGUUUCAACUCUAGAAGUCCUAUUUGAAAACCUCUCCAACUUCCUCCUCUCUCAGAAAAAGAGGUAACUAGAAUCACAUUUCGUCUUUCAUGGUACUAUUUUAAAAACGUCGCACCUUCAAGCUCCUAAUCGGUUAAACUUUUGGGAAGUUAUUAUUUUCAUCUCAUCAUACAUGCUCCAAGCUUUUCUAUGGGCUGUAUUCUUGACCUUCUGCUUCUCUAGCAAGUGAAGCAAUACGAAGUAAUUUCACUAGCACAGAUUAAUUAGGUUUUUAAAGGAUAUUUGCAUUGGCAAUACUUACAUUAUAAUCAAGUUUUCAUAAUUUAAUCUCUAAAUUAAUUUCAUAAUAAUUUUGGAAAUAUUAGUCAUUUUUUGUUACUUAAAAACUGAAACUGAUUUUAGCAUUUAGAAAAUUUUUUUGAUGAUGUGCUAUAUGAUGAUACCAUUGAGUUUAUCAACAAUGAAAUUAUCACCUCUAUUUUCAUUCUUCAUGCGGGAAUUAAGGAUCUUAUGCCAUUUGAAUAUCUUUGGCCGUUUUACUGCCGAGAUGUUUAUUUUAAGGAUAUCAGCAUGGGGUUUUUACUUUAUUUUGUUAUUAAUUAAGUACUGGUGUUGCAUUUUGAUAACAUCAAAUUGUUGUUACUCUGUUUUUCUUGUCCAUACAGUGAUCAGUUGAAAUAAAAUUGUAUUACCUACUUACAUAGAAAAAAUGAGUUUGAGAAUGAGAAUGUCUCUGUUUUUCUUGUCCUUACAGUGAUCAGUUGAAAUAAAAUUGUAUUACUUACAUAGAAAAAAUGAGUCUGAGAAUGAAUUUUCACUGACUGAGGCCCCCAGUGAAAACAAUGAGCUUGACAACCUUUUAACCAGUUCAAGUAUUUUUUAAGCAAUUAAGUUAGAGACACUAAUUAGUUUUAUCAAACUGUACAGAACUUCAGUAGUUUAAAAAUCAUUUUUCGGAACGGACCAAACAAUAAAACUAUGGUACCACUAAGACUUGUUUCCUAGCAAGUUUUGUAAUGAGACUAUCUGCAUAAGUCUUAUGGAGCGAAUGAUUUUCUUUCUUGCCUUUAUAUAAACGAGACUGAUAAAAAAAAAAGAAACUAAAGUGCAACAAAAAAUGUGUGUAAUUGGCAGAAGAGAAAGACUUCUUUCCUUUAUAUGUUUUCUCUCUGAAAGUGCCCCUUACAGUUGCAAUCUUCCCAAAUUCCUGACAUCCGUUUUUAAUAAUAAUUAAAUAGUAAUUAAAAUAAAAUAUCUGUAAGAUAUGGGUCAUUCCAGAGAAGCAACAUUCUGCAACAGAAAAUAUAAGCUCUCAGUCUCUGGAAUCGUUUUCAAUUAAAAAUGCUGGAGUAAAUCCACUUAAAAUUAAUUGAAAUAUUGAAAAAUAAGUCAAAAUUUGAAUAUAAUCUGUCUUGCACAUCUCAAAAAAAUAGUGAUCAGAUUCAUGGUCUCAUCCUAGUUCAACAGAGCAUUGAAACUGGCUAAAAUUUGGCUAAGAGUUGCUUGAAAUAUUCUAUUUCAUGAUUUAAAAAAUGAAAGAAACUGGGCAUUUUCAGACUUCUAAAAGUGGCAUGGUAAUUAGAAUAUUGCAUUUGUCCCACCCAUCACACCAGUUAUUUGUUCAUUAACCGAUAGAAAAAAGCUCAUAUGUACCCACUUUUGGUUAGAACAUUUCAUUUAAGCAAAUUUUUAUCUUUGCACGAUGAGCAGACUAUCAGAAUCAUACGCAGUGGGUAAAAAUAUGCUUCGUUUUGGGUAACACCCCUCUUAUCAAUUCUCUCUUAAUUUUGUUUUGAUAAAAAUUGAUGGAAUUUUAAAAACUAAUAGGCCCCAUAGGUGAGUUGCGCUGGUCACAGAAUCCUUUUUUGAUGCUUGAUUCUUGAAGAUAAGCAAAGAAUAAUAAGAUUCGUCCAUUCAGCAACUUCCUACGUUCAGUAGCCAUAUCAAUAUCGCCCUAUGGACAGUAGGGUUUUUGAUGUCAUACACUGCGGUAGUGACACCCUUGGUUUCUUUAACCUUGGUUUCAUCGAAGGUACAUGUUAAAUACACAGUGCAAGUGUGCGUCAUGCUGACUGAUGAAAGCGAGGUGGGAGAAACCAAAGAUGUCACUGCUGCGGUGGAUGACUUCAAAAACCUGACUUUUCAAAGGGCGACAUCUCAGUUAAUACUGAACGUAGAGAGUUGCUGUUUGGACAAAUCUCAUUAUUUUUAGCUGAACUACAAGGAUCAAGCAUCAAAGCACGAUUCUGUGACUAGCGCGACUGACCCAUUUGCUCAGAGAGUUCUUUUUUUUUAAGACAUGCCCUUUCCUAAAUUUACCUAACAGAAUCAGUUGAAAAUUUGCUUUACAUUUGCAAAAUAAUCACACUGGAAUGAAUGAUCUAUGAUGACCUUGUGGAUCGACAGAGAGUAAUGGAGGUUAGGAGUUGCAGAGCGUGAGGGAGUGCUAUAAGGCGACCUAUAUGUGUGUGUAUGAAUGACGUGUACUUUUCUUCAUGUUUUGGCUUUCAAGUCAGAUCACCGAAAAACAACAGAAACUCUGGGGGGUCACUUAAUCCCCUUGUAACGCCACUUUGAGAGCUCUACUUUGAAUACGUUAACUGUGUCAUACAAGCUUAGGUUAGGUUCUAUUUCUGAUUUUUGCUCUGUGUUGCAGUCAUCGAUUUUCUUAGUUUCUAGCUACAGUUAUUGAGAAAUAAAUUGAGUUAAUUUCCAUUAAUACAA
This is a long non-coding RNA of Bemisia tabaci, 4334 nucleotides long. RefSeq lists it as uncharacterized. NCBI's taxonomy places the organism in Eukaryota, Metazoa, Arthropoda, Insecta, Hemiptera, Aleyrodidae. The record is from RefSeq and is a predicted model, not a curated record.